This 86-nucleotide non-coding RNA is filed under the name Pantoea agglomerans. The record is from RNAcentral. Lineage: Bacteria; Pseudomonadati; Pseudomonadota; Gammaproteobacteria; Enterobacterales; Erwiniaceae.
CUCAAUGGUGGGCUGGGCGAGGGCACCUCAGGGUGCGCCGGUUCAGUAUGCCCGGUAGUUCCAACCUCGCUCAGUCUGCCACCCAU